AAAGGCACUCUGCUCUUCACUAAGCAAUGCUCAUUCGACCCAAGAAAUCUCUCUGUCAAGGGGAUGUUACUUCUUUUUGAAGUACAGAGUAAGAGAUUCUCCUGGACCAUCUCUAGAAGAGCAUGUCUUCUCUAGCACCUUCUCGAACAGAGACUGUGAAUGACCCUUCGAGAUGAGACGUAUCACUGAUGCACAGCUCGAAAGCAUGCUGGCUAACCACUACAGAAGAGUCAAGAGGAGAAGACAGUCGUGUGUGUCCUUGGCUCAGUUAUUCGUGCUCAUUCACAUACAGCAUGAUAUGGAGCAUGAUGUGGACCUUAAAACCACCUGAUGAAGGUUCUCUCCGGACAGAACUCCUCCUGUAUCUGCAUCUUGAUGCUUUGAAGUCUAUAUUUGCAGCCAUGGGAAUGGGAUUUAUUAUGUCCAAGAUAAAUGAGCUCCCCAAGAAGUAUCCUUCGACAAUGAAUGAUGGAGAUGUCUCCCCGAAACAAACUCAUCCUUCAGGUUAAAGAAGUUAUUGGACCAGGUCAGAAAAGAGAAGAAUGAAAACACCUGAGCCCUCACAGUGUAACCUGCAGGGCCUGCCAGAAGCUCUGUGAGUCGGAGCUGCUGUU
This is a non-coding RNA of Myodes glareolus (Bank vole), 614 nucleotides long. NCBI's taxonomy places the organism in Eukaryota, Metazoa, Chordata, Mammalia, Rodentia, Cricetidae. The record is from RefSeq and is a predicted model, not a curated record.